AUGGCGACGGCGGCAACAUCUCGGCCCAGCGGUCCUGUCCUUUUGAGCCCCUUUCCCAACUACCAAUCCGCCUCGCUCUCCCGUGUCAAGCUCUCCGCCGCCGGCUCGGCGGUCAAGUCCGUCAGCGUCUCGUCUCCCCCCUCCUCCCCCACCGCCGCCCACAAGAUCCGUCGGUCCUGCAUGUGCUCCCCGACGAACCACCCCGGCUCGUUCCGCUGCAGCCUCCAUAAGGAGCGCAAGCAGGAGGUCCAAGCCGCCGGCAGCAAGCCCGUCUCCGCCCCUUCGUCGCCGCCCGUCGGCAGCGGCUGCUCUAGGCGCCAGGUCAGGGCGCUCCCGCAGCUCGUCCCCGUGGGGAGCGGGCACUGGGCACGCAGGGCGCUUGCACCGUCCCCCGCGGCGCAGCAGUCGCAACACCGGAAGCGCGCUGAGCGGUUCCGCGCCGGACCCAGCCGGCUAUCCGCCGUGUCCAUGGCUGGCGGCCGCGCAGGCAGCUACCAGUAA
This 501-nucleotide ribosomal RNA is filed under the name Triticum aestivum (bread wheat). Its description in RNAcentral is "partial small subunit ribosomal RNA". The record is from RNAcentral. Lineage: Eukaryota; Viridiplantae; Streptophyta; Magnoliopsida; Poales; Poaceae.